This 702-nucleotide long non-coding RNA is filed under the name Helianthus annuus (common sunflower). Its description in RNAcentral is "hypothetical non coding rna". The record is from RNAcentral. Lineage: Eukaryota; Viridiplantae; Streptophyta; Magnoliopsida; Asterales; Asteraceae.
UUCAUCCCCAGAUCUCGUACUGAUACCCCCUCUUCUCUUUUUGUUUAAUCAGCUUGUUUUGGCAUUACGAUAAAGAGAGAAAGAAACCGGACACACAACAUCUCCAUUGAAUCCAUCUAAUCUCUCCUCUGAUUGAACGCGAACCAAAGGAAGAAGAACAUAAAUCGGAAGCCAUCCGAUUCUAGACCUUAAUCGGAGCGCUGAAACCCAAUUAAGGACUAACGUGAUUAAGAAGGAAGAAACUAUGCCUGGCAGCAUUGGGUGAAUGGAGGUAGAAACAGAGGAAACUGAAAAUGGUAAUAAUGAUGUAUCUCGUCCCUAAAGAGGCUAAUGAUCAGCCGAAGGAACUACUAUACUAGAAACAAGCUUCUAAAAGGCUAUUGCAGAAUGGGAUACGGGUACUGAUGCGGGUCCUCUUGUAACUAGGCCUAGGCAUAUUCGGUUUGAAUCUCUUCAUAAAGAAGGAAGAAACUAUGCCUGGCAGCAUUGGGUGAAUGGAGGUAGAAACAGAGGAAACUGAAAAUGGUAAUAAUGAUGUAUCUCGUCCCUAAAGAGGCUAAUGAUCAGCCGAAGGAACUACUAUACUAGAAACAAGCUUCUAAAAGGCUAUUGCAGAAUGGGAUACGGGUACUGAUGCGGGUCCUCUUGUAACUAGGCCUAGGCAUAUUCGGUUUGAAUCUCUUCAUAAAGGUAUAUAGGGGU